RNAcentral lists this long non-coding RNA (376 nucleotides) under Bos indicus x Bos taurus (hybrid cattle). RNAcentral describes it as "lncRNA (ENSBIXG00000002617.1)". Lineage: Eukaryota; Metazoa; Chordata; Mammalia; Artiodactyla; Bovidae. The record is from RNAcentral.
GAAUUAGAGUCUUCAUUCCUGCAGAUUGAAGCAACUGCAAAUCAUUUGUUUUAUGUUUGUUUUAUCGUUUGUUUGGUGUAGAAUCAAGUAGGCUUCCCUGGCACCUGGAAGACUUUUUAGAAGGACUGAGCUGACAUGUCCAUUAGUCUCUUUGUAAAUGAAGUUUUUUCCUUUCUUUUCCAGCAGCAAAUAUGGUGCUUUGGACUCUUGGCAAGAACACUGGCAAAAUUCCAACGAGCCAGUCUUUUUGGAAGACUUUGAUCCCGGCCAACAUGGUCUACUCUUUCAAUUAAAAAAAUUAAAAAGUGAAGAAAAAGUCACAGUAUAUUAUGAUUCUCAGCAUUUCUCUUACAAGGACAAAGCAAAAAUGGAAUGA